AGAGUUUGAUCAUGGCUCAGGAUGAACGCUAGCUACAGGCUUAACACAUGCAAGUCGAGGGCAUCAGUUUGGUUUGCUUGCAAACCAAAGCUGGCGACCGGCGCACGGGUGAGUAACACGUAUCCAACCUGCCUCAUACUCGGGAUAGCCUUUCGAAAGAAAGAUUAAUAUCCGAUAGCAUAUAUUUCCGCAUGGGUUUAUAUUAAGAAUUCGGUAUGAGAUGGGAUGCGUUCCAUUAGUUGUUGGCGGGGUAACGGCCACCAAGACUACGAUGGAUAGGGGUUCUGAGAGGAAGGUCCCCACAUUGGAACUGAGACACGGUCCAAACUCCUACGGGAGGCA
Molecule: ribosomal RNA, 342 nt
Filed under: uncultured bacterium
Lineage: Bacteria
Description: bacterial SSU rRNA
Rfam family: Bacterial small subunit ribosomal RNA
Source: RNAcentral